GAUGAACGCUGGCGGCGUGCCUAAUACAUGCAAGUCGAGCGAACGGACGAGAAGCUUGCUUCUCUGAUGUUAGCGGCGGACGGGUGAGUAACACGUGGAUAACCUACCUAUAAGACUGGGAUAACUUCGGGAAACCGGAGCUAAUACCGGAUGAUAUUUUGAACCGCAUGGUUCAAAAGUGAAAGACGGUCUUGCUGUCACUUAUAGAUGGAUCCGCGCUGCUUUAGCUAGUUGGUAAGGUAACGGCUUACCAAGGCAACGAUGCAUAGCCGACCUGAGAGGGUGAUCGGCCACACUGGAACUGAGACACGGUCCAGACUCCUACGGGAGGCAGCAGUAGGGAAUCUUCCGCAAUGGGCGAAAGCCCGACGGAGCAACGCCGCGUGAGUGAUGAAGGUCUUCGGAUCGUAAAACUCUGUUAUUAGGGAAGAACAUAUGUGUAAGUAACUGUGCACAUCUUGACGGUACCUAAUCAGAAAGCCACGGCUAACUACGUG
Molecule: ribosomal RNA, 497 nt
Filed under: uncultured bacterium
Lineage: Bacteria
Description: partial 16S ribosomal RNA
Rfam family: Bacterial small subunit ribosomal RNA
Source: RNAcentral